Panthera uncia (snow leopard) is the source of this 382-nucleotide long non-coding RNA. RefSeq lists it as uncharacterized. The transcript is spliced from 2 exons. NCBI's taxonomy places the organism in Eukaryota, Metazoa, Chordata, Mammalia, Carnivora, Felidae. The record is from RefSeq and is a predicted model, not a curated record.
UUACCGUGGAAGCUGGUGAUGGGUGCGUGGGGCGACCUUACGCCACUCCGUUGACUUUGUGUAUGUUUGAAAGCUCUCAUCAUAAAAACUAAAGAAAAACACGUCAGGCUGAUCUUACAGUGACCUCAUCUCCAUGCUCUUGGCAUUCUAGAAUGCUCGCCGGAGACCAGGAGAAAGGGAAGGAUGGCUAUCUCCCAGCAGGAAUCGAGCGGGACUCCUAGUGAACACAGGAGCCUCGAGUUGCCGUCAGCCGCUUGGGAAAGCCAAGGCGGGGAGUUUGAACGUAGGGAAACAGAAAGAAAGCCCCUAGAUGAAGCCAUUCCACAAUCCAUCGACUUUUUCAGCUACGCCAGCCAAUAAAUUGCCUUUGGGGCUUAAGUCA